Molecule: ribosomal RNA, 253 nt
Filed under: uncultured bacterium
Lineage: Bacteria
Description: partial 16S ribosomal RNA
Rfam family: Bacterial small subunit ribosomal RNA
Source: RNAcentral
UACGAAGGGGGCUAGCGUUGCUCGGAAUCACUGGGCGUAAAGCGCACGUGGGCGGAUCGUUAAGUCAGGGGUGAAAUCCUGGAGCUCAACUCCAGAACUGCCUUUGAUACUGGCGACCUUGAGUUCGGGAGAGGUGAGUGGAACUGCGAGUGUAGAGGUGAAAUUCGUAGAUAUUCGCAAGAACACCAGUGGCGAAGGCGGCUCACUGGCCCGAUACUGACGCUGAGGUGCGAAAGCGUGGGGAGCAAACAGG